CAGUAGCCGCGGGAAUACGAAGGGGGCUAGCGUUGUUCGGAAUUACUGGGCGUAAAGCGCACGUAGGCGGAUCGAUCAGUCAGGGGUGAAAUCCCAGGGCUCAACCCUGGAACUGCCUUUGAUACUGUCGAUCUGGAGUAUGGAAGAGGUGUGUGGAAUUCCGAGUGUAGAGGUGAAAUUCGUAGAUAUUCGGAGGAACACCAGUGGCGAAGGCGGCUCACUGGUCCAUUACUGACGCUGAGGUGCGAAAGCGUGGGGAGCAAACAGGAUUAGAUACCCCAGUAGUCCCUGUCUCUUAUAC
RNAcentral lists this ribosomal RNA (301 nucleotides) under uncultured bacterium. RNAcentral describes it as "partial 16S ribosomal RNA". It matches the Rfam family "Bacterial small subunit ribosomal RNA", at positions 509 to 807 of the family's 1533-position model. The record is from RNAcentral.